AUAUCAUGGUGUGGGAAUUUUCUUAAUAUUGCUUUUAAUCUUUUCCAAGCUUGAUAAACUGACUCAAUGUCAGUCUGCAAGAAAUUAGAUAUAUCUUGUCUUAAAUU
Nicotiana sylvestris (wood tobacco) is the source of this 107-nucleotide non-coding RNA. Lineage: Eukaryota; Viridiplantae; Streptophyta; Magnoliopsida; Solanales; Solanaceae. The record is from Rfam.